This is a long non-coding RNA of Mauremys mutica (yellowpond turtle), 391 nucleotides long. RefSeq lists it as uncharacterized. Lineage: Eukaryota; Metazoa; Chordata; Testudines; Geoemydidae. The record is from RefSeq and is a predicted model, not a curated record. The transcript has 3 exons.
GAGAGUGGAUUGUAGUUUGGAGAAGCAGUGUUGUUGACCAGAGGAUCAAGAGAGGGGAAAAAACUGCUCCAGCAGAGCAGAGGGACUCCCCAGGCACAGAGGACCAAGAGAAAUCCUGCCCAAAUGGGGAGACGGGGUCUCCUCCCUCGAUCAGAAAUCUGCAAAAACUGGGCCCCAGCAUGGGAACAGAAUCUGGGACCUUUUUGUUCCAAAGCACAGACCUCUGCCAUUUGAACUAAAGGAGCAACCUCUUAGCAGUAUCCCUCCCUGCAGGAGCCGGCCGCUGGUAUCUCCCUCGGCCGGAGCCAGGAAGUUCCUGAAUGCUCCACCAGCUCUGCCAGCAGCUGCUCUUCCCGCCCUCCUGGUGGCGGAAUGGAAGCCAAUUGUGGAC